CCAAAAACAUAGCCCUUAAUAAUAAAAAAUUAGAGGUGUAACCUGCCCAAUGAUUUAAUAAUAUAAUUUAAAUAAUAAAAAAAAAAAAUUAAAUGGCUGCAGUAACCAUGACUGUAAAAAUGUAGCAUAAUAAUUCGCCACUUAAUUAGUGGAUAGUAUGAAUGGUUAAACGAAAAUUCCACUGUCUUAUAAAAUAUAAUAGAAAAUUUAAAUCAUAGUUAAGAUGCUAUGUGAAACUGUAAGACGAAAAGACCCUAUAAAGCUUAACUAUAAAUCUUAAUAAAAAACUUGAAACCAAAACAAUCAUUAAGAUUUGGUAGUUUCAUUGGGGCGAUGAUCUCUAAAAAUAAACAGAGAUAAACUUAUAUAAUAAUAUAAUUUUACUGUUUAAUUUAUAAAUUUAACAGUUACAAAGUAGAGUAUAAUGACCCAUUAUUUUAAUUAAUAAAAAAUAAUGAACAAUAAAUAAAAGCUACUUUAGGGAUAACAGGAUAAUAAUUUCUUAGAGACCUAAUCGAAGAAAAAGUUUAUCACCUCGAUGUUGAAUUAAGAUAACCUAAUGACGCAGCAGUAAUUAAAGGUAGGUC
This 587-nucleotide ribosomal RNA is filed under the name Lytocarpia phyteuma. Its description in RNAcentral is "partial large subunit ribosomal RNA". It matches the Rfam family "Bacterial large subunit ribosomal RNA", at positions 1807 to 2577 of the family's 2925-position model. The record is from RNAcentral. Lineage: Eukaryota; Metazoa; Cnidaria; Hydrozoa; Leptothecata; Aglaopheniidae.